UACGUAGGUGGCAAGCGUUGUCCGGAAUUAUUGGGCGUAAAGGGCUCGUAGGCGGCCAACUAAGUCAGACGUGAAAUCCCUCGGCUUAACCGGGGAACUGCGUCUGAUACUGGAUGGCUUGAGAUUGGGAGAGGGAUGCGGAAUUCCAGGUGUAGCGGUGAAAUGCGUAGAUAUCUGGAGGAACACCGGUGGCGAAGGCGGCAUCCUGGACCAACACUGACGCUGAGGAGCGAAAGCCAGGGGAGCAAACGGG
This 253-nucleotide ribosomal RNA is filed under the name uncultured bacterium. RNAcentral describes it as "partial 16S ribosomal RNA". It matches the Rfam family "Bacterial small subunit ribosomal RNA", at positions 524 to 776 of the family's 1533-position model. The record is from RNAcentral.